GAUGAACGCUGGCGGCGUGCCUAAUACAUGCAAGUCGAGCGAACGGACGAGAAGCUUGCUUCUCUGCUGUUAGCGGCGGACGGGUGAGUAACACGUGGCUAACCUACCUAUAAGACUGGGAUAACUUCGGGAAACCGGAGCUAAUACCGGAUAAUAUUUUGAACCGCAUGGUUCAAAAGUGAAAGACGGUCUUGCUGUCACUUAUAGAUGGAUCCGCGCUGCAUUAGCUAGUUGGUAAGGUAACGGCUUACCAAGGCAACGAUGCAUAGCCGACCUGAGAGGGUGAUCGGCCACACUGGAACUGAGACACGGUCCAGACUCCUACGGGAGGCAGCAGUAGGGAAUCUUCCGCAAUGGGCGAAAGCCUGACGGAGCAACGCCGCGUGAGUGAUGAAGGUCUUCGGAUCGUAAAACUCUGUUAUUAGGGAAGAACAUAUGUGUAAGUAACUGUGCACAUCUUGACGGUACCUAAUCAGAAAGCCACGGCUAACUACGUG
Molecule: ribosomal RNA, 497 nt
Filed under: uncultured bacterium
Lineage: Bacteria
Description: partial 16S ribosomal RNA
Rfam family: Bacterial small subunit ribosomal RNA
Source: RNAcentral